UACUGCUGGAGCUCUUCAAUUAAAUGGCAACAGUCGGGAGAGUAAACAGAGAGGUAAAGCACCAGCUUCCCGUGCAGGAACGCCUCCACCUACAGGUAAAUCUGCUCUCUCUGCUCUGAAGAAACUCCCGCUGCCCCCCUCGUACACACGCUCAGAGAAGCAAGAAGCCUCUAUCGUUCUCAGUCAUGCCGGAGGAAGAAAUCUUCGCGGCACGCAGGUUUGGCAGCACUCUUAGAGCGUCUUAGAGGGCAGCAGCCAGGCUGCCACACUGCCUGCGAGUCCUCCUGUGCCAGCGACAUGUCACCCCGAGGGUCCGGGCAGGCGUGGCCGCACGCUCAGCCUCCCUGAGGAGAUCCCUGAGGUGUCCCUUGCAACACCAAAGGCAGCAGCCACCCCCAGCUCACCCCCUUCAUCUCAGGACAGCUGGGGGUCAGGGAGGCAUCACAUCUCUGCAGCUCUUCCUUCCUGUGCCAGCUCUUCUCCAGCCAAACUGCCGGCUCAUCGGACAAAAGCUCAUUUUCCCCACAACCUCGGGCUUGCAGCAAAAUAGGGCCUAGAGAGGUACCAGGAAGACACAGCAGGGCAGAAAUGCCACAGGUAGUCCCUUAAAUCGAGAAGCUAGGGCUGGUUGCUUUUAUAUUUUUAAGGCACUUAAAGAAACAGUUGUAUUUUUCACAACUACUGAGCUCACCAGGAGCUCUGCAGAACUGGAUUCCUUAUUAUGGGACUGCUUCAAUCUGGGAUUUAGCCUCAAUUUAAGUUGUAAUUUCUGUUUUGUUUUUUUUUUUUUUUAAUUCAACAGCCAAUCAUAAAACAAUGCAUCAUUAAAAUGAUGGUGGACCCUCUCCAAUGGUUUCUUUCACUAAGUCUGAAGCUGGGCUGCUGGUGCUGGUGUUCCUAAAGAGAAAGCAAACCAGGAUGCACAGGACUUUCUCCUCUUUUAUUUAGCUUGUCAUCUCAGCUUACUGAGCAAACACUUCCAUCUAGUGGCCUGCUGCACACAUGCUGGGAUGAUGGAUGUCCUUGGGAGUAACAGCAGCUGAAUUCCCCAUGUGACACCAAUCCCUUGGACCACUGCCUCCUCUGCAGAGUCAAAAGCAAGAAAACGAAAGCCUCAAAAGAAAGCACACACCAGACAAAUUCAUCUUGUUCUGCACCACAGGGUCACUAAAGAGGUUGAUGGCUGUGAUGGACCAGCAGGAAUCCCAGCUGCUCUCCCAUGGUGGGGCUGCAGGAAAUUCCAGGCUUCUGCAGAUUUCAACACGCAGGACUACAUUGUUGGACGUGGUCAUCAUGUUUUGAACACACUCUGCAAGUGCUAAAUGGCCUGUACUGGACUUGAGAAAUGGAGGACAGGCCUUUGUGCAUUUUACAAGAACCACUGGCACAAUUAGGGUUACACACAGUCCUGCAGCCAGAUACUGCAGCAUAUGUGAAUAUUUCUCCAACAGGAGUUCCCUGAUGGGCCCUACCCAUCUGGAGAUGUCUGUGCUGCAGGGAUCACUGCUUACCAGACAGAAUUUGGCUGGUUUGGACACCAGUAGCUGUGUAGCCUUGGCAACAUCUGAGUUUCCUAGGGCCUUCCUGGAGAGUACUUAGAGCUGAUUUCCCUUUCAUUGAAGGCCAAAGUGGUCCCUGGACAUGCUGGGAGGUGCGAGUGACAGAAGGAGGUCAUUGCUGCUUUGAUGCCCAUAAGUGGAGGUUAAAUACAGGGAAUGGAGCAAUGUCAUAGGAAAAAAUGGCUUACUUCUCUGCAGUUCUUAAAAUCAGAUAAUCUUCUUUGGACUGAGCAGUGCUCCUCUAAUCUGAGAAGGAAAAAACUGCUCCCUCUCCCAGUGAAGAACCACUGAUGAGCCAGUACCCCACUGCCCACAGGGCUUGUGGGUACCAACAAAAACUUCUUCCCCUCUUACUUUCACACGUUCUGAUUCCCUCUCCUUUGAAAGAGUGGUGGAAUGAGCAGUAUAUCUGCAGUAUGUCUGUGGCAGAGUGGCCACCAGAAAUGAAAUUACUACUCAUCAGCUGAGCUGCUGUAGCAGAUUGGACUCAGGUAUUCAUUGCUCCGUCCAGAAAGGAAAUAAAAUUUCUUGUCCUAGGUGACCUCCAUAAAGUCACUGAGCUACACGGUAAGCUACAGACUAAGCUACAACUCACUUGCCUGUGCUCCCAGAGUUUGCAUGGAUAAACUGUUUCAGCCUUUUCACUCAUCUCUGUGCCUACAGAAACUUUUCCUGGGGUCUGCUCUACAUGGAGAGCUACAAAUAAGUUCAAUAACUUUUAGAUUAAACUUUACAAGUUGUUCCUUCCUCUCUAAGCAAUGCAAAUAAGGAUAGGUGUGUCAGGUGGGCCAAGUUUUAAGACUUUCCUGCCUUCCAAUGUCUUCAUUGAAUACCAGAGCCCUCAGCUCAGACUGGGAGAAGUUACUAAGUUGUUGCAGUGUGAAGCGAUAUCCUGUCCCUCAGGUGUGCCAACUUCUUCUUUCCCCUCCCCCUGCCCCCUUGCCUUCUUCCUAACUGCUGUCUGUCAAGUCCCACAUUCCAGUAAGGGUGUCAUGUGAUUGGCAGAAGUUCAAAAGAUGCUUCUCAGACCUGGGGUCAUUGGCCUGUCCAGGUGUCAUUGUCCCCUGAGACCCUCCUCCUCCCACCUGGUUGGUGGCUCACCUGUCCUCUCCCUCCCCCCUCCCUGUGGGCUUAAAAGACACUGAAACCAUGCGGUCGUUAUUCUGUUGGAGCUGUUACCGAGAUUCAGAGCUCUGUCAUCCUGGAAUAAACUCUGGAUUUAACCCUC
Haemorhous mexicanus (house finch) is the source of this 2787-nucleotide long non-coding RNA. RefSeq lists it as uncharacterized. The record is from RefSeq and is a predicted model, not a curated record. The transcript has 3 exons. NCBI's taxonomy places the organism in Eukaryota, Metazoa, Chordata, Aves, Passeriformes, Fringillidae.